GCCAGACACGGUGGGACGCCUAUAGUCCCAGCUACUCGGGAGGCUGAGAUGGGAGGAUCGCAUGAGUCCAGGAGUUCUGAGCUGUACUGCCCUAUGCUGAUCAGUGUCCGUGCUAAGUUCAGCAUCAAUACGGUGACCUCCCAAGAGUAGGGGACCACCAGGUUGCCUAAAGAGGGGUGAACUGGCCCAGGUCGGAAACAGAGCAGGUCAAAACUCCUGUGCUAAUCAGUAGCGGGAUCACAGCUGUGAACAGCCACUGCACUCCAGCCUAGGCAACACAGCAAGACCCCAUCUCUU
Molecule: non-coding RNA, 297 nt
Organism: Otolemur garnettii (small-eared galago)
Lineage: Eukaryota; Metazoa; Chordata; Mammalia; Primates; Galagidae
Source: Rfam